Molecule: long non-coding RNA, 1750 nt
Organism: Gadus macrocephalus (Pacific cod)
Lineage: Eukaryota; Metazoa; Chordata; Actinopteri; Gadiformes; Gadidae
Exons: 2
Source: RefSeq, a predicted model, not a curated record
UGUGUGUGUGUUUCUUUUUUUUAUUCUUCUUGUUCACCGCAGCCUUAUCUGGGCUCAUGUUCUGCAAGGGAGGGGGGGGGGGGGGGGGGACAUGAACGCAUACAAACCGAAGAUGGAGAGCGGAGACCAGGCUAUAAAUAGGGCCUCGAUUAUAUUAGCACGCGUCACCCCGGCUUACGGCAGCGACUGUUUCUGACGAUAACCUCUGGUUGACUCGCAUGUACGGAUGACAGAUGGUUGAGUCUGAGUCUAACCGAUGCCCUGCUCUCCACUCCGAAGACCGAGACCCCAUAUGUCAAAAAACAACAACGCACAAUGGGGCGCCUUAGAACUCACUGCAUCAUCAUCCCCUCCCCUUGGAGCCUAUCAGAUCAUCCGUCACCCUCAACACCCCCUUCUCAUCCCCAUCUCAACCCCUCAACAUCUCUGUUCUCCCCUCCACAGCCAAGGUGCGGUCAAAGUGCGCCCCCACCUUCUUCGCCUGCGCCAACGGCAUCUUCUGCAUCAUCGGACGCUUCCGCUGCAACGGGUUCGCCGACUGUCCGGACCGGAGCGACGAGGACAACUGCACAGCCAACCCCCUGGUGUGCUCGGAGUCUCGCUUCAAGUGUCGCAACGGCCGCUGUGUGGACCGCAGCUUCCUGUGCAACAGUGAGGACAACUGCCAGGAUAACAGCGACGAGGAGGACUGCCUGACCACAGCAGGUAGGCCCGGUGCAGGCGAUCAACUCCUGCACACACACACACACAGCAUGGCUAGUAGGGAAUACAUACUGUGUCAAGGAUACAGCAGUGAAACGUUCAUCUAUGCAUCCAGGAAAAUAAGAUGAUAAUGUGGGUUAUUGCUGGACCCCAGCUGGGCAUUAAUGGGGCUGUGUACAAACAUUGUCUGUCUGCCUUUCUAUCUAUCUAUCUAUCUAUAUCGGUCUAUCUAUCCAUCCACCCUGCCAUUGAUCCAUCCAAUCAUGUAUCCAUCUAUUUAUACAUUGAUGCAAUGGUUAGGGUUGGCCUAGUCUUAGCAAGCGUAUCUGCGUAUAGAGGCGUAUGAAUUUAUAGCUUAUCUCCAGGGCCUGCUGCUGUCUUCUGGCCCAGUGGAAUAACCCACAGAGUCUCUGCUCCUAAGACAAAGUGCUGUGUUCAUUCCCACUGCCUACUAGUACACUAGUUCCCACCUCAGAGUGCAAGGUAAGCAUUUCAGAUAGUUAGAUGCUCAUAUAGCAAAUACAUUCAAACAAAGGCAUCUCAAUGAGGAGAGGGUGUCAGCACUUCCUUACUGUGCAACUGACCAAGCAAAAACCAGCGACUGUUCGAGACACACUUUUGCGUGCCAAGUCUUGUUUGUGUAGGAGGGACUUGCUUCUGCGUUCUGGCUAAGCACACUGAAAUGCCAUAGAAGAUCUCUUCUUGAAGGUCUCUUCAUUCCACCAUUGGCUUACCCACUCGGCUCUUGUUCAGGACAAGUGGGGAGAAGUUGUGUGCUCAGCAUUGGCCUUCAGCAAAGAUCAGGGAUGAGAAGGGUUUAUUUUGUUUUCUGGCAUCCGCUAGGCUGCAGAGUUAAACUCUCAGAGCAAACACAGUCUCUGUAACGCAAACACACACACAUACACACACACACACACAAACGCGUACACACACGCACGCACACACACACACAUACACACACACACAUACGCACACACACACACAAACACACAAACAUACACAUGCGCGCACACACACACACACAUACGCUCAAACACCCACACAAACA